RNAcentral lists this ribosomal RNA (690 nucleotides) under uncultured bacterium. RNAcentral's name for it is "bacterial SSU rRNA". It matches the Rfam family "Bacterial small subunit ribosomal RNA", at positions 32 to 715 of the family's 1533-position model. The record is from RNAcentral.
AACGCUAGCUACAGGCUUAACACAUGCAAGUCGAGGGGCAGCGCAGUGUAGCAAUACAUGGGCGGCGACCGGCGCACGGGUGCGUAACGCGUAUCCAACCUUCCCGUUACUCAGGGAUAGCCUUCCGAAAGGGAGAUUAAUACCUGAUGGUGUUGAAAUUCCGCAUGUUAUUUCAACUAAAGAUUUAUCGGUAACGGAUGGGGAUGCGUGACAUUAGGUAGAUGGCGGGGUAACGGCCCACCAUGCCUACGAUGUCUAGGGGUUCUGAGAGGAAGGUCCCCCACACUGGAACUGAGACACGGUCCAGACUCCUACGGGAGGCAGCAGUGAGGAAUAUUGGUCAAUGGGCGAGAGCCUGAACCAGCCAAGUAGCGUGAAGGAUGACUGCCCUAUGGGUUGUAAACUUCUUUUAUAAAGGAAUAAAGUGCUCCACGUGUGGAGCUUUGUAUGUACUUUAUGAAUAAGGAUCGGCUAACUCCGUGCCAGCAGCCGCGGUAAUACGGAGGAUCCGAGCGUUAUCCGGAUUUAUUGGGUUUAAAGGGAGCGUAGAUGGAUGUUUAAGUCAGCUGUGAAAGUUCGGGGCUCAACCUCGGAAUUGCAGUUGAUACUGGAUGUCUUGAGUACAGUUGAGGUAGGCGGAAUUCGUGGUGUAGCGGUGAAAUGCUUAGAUAUCACGAAGAACUCCGAUUG